AACGAACGCUGGCGGCAGGCCUAACACAUGCAAGUCGAGCGCACCUUCGGGUGAGCGGCGGACGGGUUAGUAACGCGUGGGAACGUGCCCUUCUCUACGGAAUAGCCUCUGGAAACGGAGAGUAAUACCGUAUACGCCCUUUGGGGGAAAGAUUUAUCGGAGAAGGAUCGGCCCGCGUUAGAUUAGGUAGUUGGUGGGGUAACGGCCUACCAAGCCUACGAUCUAUAGCUGGUUUUAGAGGAUGAUCAGCAACACUGGGACUGAGACACGGCCCAGACUCCUACGGGAGGCAGCAGUGGGGAAUCUUAGACAAUGGGGGCAACCCUGAUCUAGCCAUGCCGCGUGAGUGAUGAAGGCCUUAGGGUCGUAAAGCUCUUUCGCCUGUGAUGAUAAUGACAGUAGCAGGUAAAGAAACCCCGGCUAACUCCGUGCCAGCA
RNAcentral lists this ribosomal RNA (437 nucleotides) under uncultured bacterium. RNAcentral's name for it is "bacterial SSU rRNA". It matches the Rfam family "Bacterial small subunit ribosomal RNA", at positions 29 to 513 of the family's 1533-position model. The record is from RNAcentral.